This is a long non-coding RNA of Cyprinus carpio carpio, 2159 nucleotides long. The record is from Ensembl. Lineage: Eukaryota; Metazoa; Chordata; Actinopteri; Cypriniformes; Cyprinidae.
GGACUGCUCUAGAGUCUUAAAACCUGCACUCCUGUGCACAUCUAUGCCUUCUCUAUCAAAAUGUAGAGUUUCAGGAAAAUUGAAGAAUUUUUUUUUUUCGUCCAGUCAUUUUAAAUCUGUAGGCUGGUUUAAUCCAAACUGAAUGAAUCUAAACGAGUUUUUUGUACAGAAUCGUAAAAUUUGAGUAAGAUUAAUAUUUACCAAAGCUUAAUGUUAAGUGUUAUAACGGAUAUAUUUGAGUGGGUUUAUGUUGUAAAAUUAGUCUAGAUAUCUUGGUUAACUGGUAACUUAUUUAGCAACUGCUACAUAUUUUAAACAGUUAACUUUUAGUACAAUAUACAUGUUUAUUAAUUGGUGUUAGUUUAGUUAGCUUGCUUUAGUUGGUAACAUAUUCCCCAUUGACAAAUCUGCAGACACAUUCUGCUCAUCUGAUUUCAGAGUCUCCAAACACUGCAGCUGACUUCUGAUUCACCGGAGACAGCCUUGGAGGAGAAAUGGUCAGAUAGCAAAUGAUGCCAUUCUUCUGGAAAACUGGUCUUUAAAGAACAGUCAUUAAUCAGUGAAAACUGUUAUUAUAUUUUUACAGGAUCCUCUGUUACCAGACCCAACAAUUCAUCUGAAGGACUGUGAAAAUAUGAACCCUUUGAACAACCAGUGACAGUUUCCACAUGAUAAAAUAGAAAGGUCAUGGCAGAGGAUGAUAGGGGUAUUGAUAUUGCGCUGAAAUUAUCCUGCUGUACUCACUGUUUCACACAUACAGUUGUGGUCAAAAGUUUGCAUCACAUUGCAGAAUAAUAAAGUUAUAUAAGUCUGGCUUGAUGCAGACAUCCCAACCUGCAAAAAGUCAUUUCAGGGAGGUAUCCCGAAGCCAACCCCCCCCCCCAAAAAAAAGGGGGGAAGGAGGACAAGGAUAUGACAUUUCACCACAGAACAUGACUUUACUAAAAAAUAUAAAAGCAUAAAAUAUUAUUUCUAUAAGCUAUAGGCCUGUGCAAUUAUUCGUUAAUUAUGUUUAAAUAUGUAGAUUACUUUUACUAUUUAUAUAAGCUGCUUAUACUAUUUAUGUAAACUGCUUUUAUUUAUUUUCCAUUGCACUCUCCCUCUGCCAUUGUGCUCCUGUUUCUAGAUAGACAUAACUGAUUAAUUUGGUUCGGGAGAAGAGAUAAAAGCCCGCCCACACUGACAAUUGAUUGGUUGAUUUGCCGAAACAGGCCAAUCAGGAUGCUCUCUGUCUUACGUGCGCUUCGCACACACGCACACUAGCACACACACGCAAGGUCUCUCGCUCCCUCUCCCUCUCUGCCGUGCGCGCGCUACACGAUUUGAAACACAGUCUCUUCUUUGCGCGCUCUUGCUCGCUCGCUCUAGAUUCCGGGAGAUUCUAACUAAUUUGCGGGCAUCAGGGAGCCGCUAUCAAUAUGCGGGAGACUCCCGGGACUUCCGGGAGACUUGGGAUGUCUGCUUGAUGAAGCUAUUUAAUUUAACAGAUGUUUACAUUUAGUCGGCUAGUCAGAAUUUUAGCUGAUUAAAUAAAACAAAUAUGAACCAGUUUCUUUUUGUGAUUAGUGUUCCAUGAGUCCUUUAUCCUGAACAGUUUAAAUGCCCGCUUUUCCUAAGAAAAAUCCUCCAGAUCUUUCACUUUCUCAGGUUUUCCAGCAUCUUUUGCAUAUUUGAACCCUUUCCAGCAAUGAAUGACAAUAGUGAGGACAAUUGAGGGACUCGUACACAACUAUUUCAAAGAUAAACACAUUUAUUGAUUCUCCAGUAAGCAACACGAUGCAUGAAGAGACGGUGUGAACUACCUGAAUUGGAUGAUCAGGGAAAACUACUAAAUUUUUUUUAUGCUUAUUUUCUGAAAAAAUGUUUUAUGUAGCUUCUGAAGGACACUACUAAAUGAACAGAUAUGAUCUUUAAACAAAACAAUAAAGAUUUACUCAUCAUCCUGUUCAAAAUGUACACCCCCAACUCUUAAUGUACUAUUGUGUUUUUUCUGGAGCAUCAGUGAAUAAUGUUUUUACUUUUUUUUUUAAAUCGUUGUGUAUGAGUUUUUCCUUAGAGUGAAGAGAUGGAUCUCAAAAUUAUGUCAUUGUCAGAUAAGGGCCAAAUAUGUAGAAGAUGCUGGAAAACCAAAGAAUUUGCGGGACUUGGAGGAUUUUACU